GACGAACGCUGGCGGCGUGCCUAAUACAUGCAAGUUGAGCGAUGAAGAUUGGUGCUUGCACCAAUUUGAAGAGCAGCGAACGGGUGAGUAACGCGUGGGGAAUCUGCCUUUGAGCGGGGGACAACAUUUGGAAACGAAUGCUAAUACCGCAUAAUAACUUUAAACAUAAGUUUUAAGUUUGAAAGAUGCAAUUGCAUCACUCAAAGAUGAUCCCGCGUUGUAUUAGCUAGUUGGUGAGGUAAGGGCUCACCAAGGCGAUGAUACAUAGCCGACCUGAGAGGGUGAUCGGCCACAUUGGGACUGAGACACGGCCCAAACUCCUACGGGAGGCAGCAGUAGGGAAUCUUCGGCAAUGGACGAAAGUCUGACCGAGCAACGCCGCGUGAGUGAAGAAGGGUGUCGGAUCGUAAAACUCUGUUGGUAGAGAAGAACGUUGGUGAGAGUGGAAAGCUCAUCAAGUGACGGUAACUACCCAGAAAGGGACGGCUAACUACGUG
This 497-nucleotide ribosomal RNA is filed under the name uncultured bacterium. Its description in RNAcentral is "partial 16S ribosomal RNA". It matches the Rfam family "Bacterial small subunit ribosomal RNA", at positions 28 to 507 of the family's 1533-position model. The record is from RNAcentral.